Molecule: ribosomal RNA, 497 nt
Filed under: uncultured bacterium
Lineage: Bacteria
Description: partial 16S ribosomal RNA
Rfam family: Bacterial small subunit ribosomal RNA
Source: RNAcentral
GAUGAACGCUGGCGGCGUGCCUAAUACAUGCAAGUCGAGCGAACGGACGAGAAGCUUGCUUCUCUGAUGUUAGCGGUGGACGGGUGAGUAACACGUGGAUAACCUACCUAUAAGACUGGGAUAACUUCGGGAAACCGGAGCUAAUACCGGAUGAUAUUUUGAACCGCAUGGUUCAAAAGUGAAAGACGGUCUUGCUGUCACUUAUAGAUGGAUCCGCGCUGCAUUAGCUAGUUGGUAAGGUAACGGCUUACCAAGGCAACGAUGCAUAGCCGACCUGAGAGGGUGAUCGGCCACACUGGAACUGAGACACGGUCCAGACUCCUACGGGAGGCAGCAGUAGGGAAUCUUCCGCAAUGGUCGAAAGCCUGACGGAGCAACGCCGCGUGAGUGAUGAAGGUCUUCGGAUCGUAAAACUCUGUUAUUAGGGAAGAACAUAUGUGUAAGUAACUGUGCACAUCUUGACGGUACCUAAUCAGAAAGCCACGGCUAACUACGUG